CUAACUUACUAUCAGGAGGGGGAUAGCCCGGCGAAAGUCGGAUUAAUACCCCAUAAAACAGGGGGUCCCGCAUGGGAAUAUUUGUUAAAGAUUCAUCGCUGAUAGAUAGGCAUGCGUUCCAUUAGGGUAGUAGGCGGGGUAACGGCCACCUAGCCUGCGAUGGAUAGGGGUUCUGAGAGGAAGGUCCCCCACAUUGGAACUGAGACACGGUCCAAACUCCUACGGGAGGCAGCAGUGAGGAAUAUUGGUCAAUGGGCGAGAGCCUGAACCAGCCAAGUAGCGUGCAGGAUGACGGCCCUAUGGGUUGUAAACUGCUUUUAUAAGGGAAUAAAGUGGGAGUCGUGACUCUUUUGCAUGUACCUUAUGAAUAAGGACCGGCUAAUUCCGUG
Molecule: ribosomal RNA, 389 nt
Filed under: uncultured bacterium
Lineage: Bacteria
Description: bacterial SSU rRNA
Rfam family: Bacterial small subunit ribosomal RNA
Source: RNAcentral